GCAUGCAUCAGUCUCCAUUUUCAACAGGCAAAGCGCCGCGACAGGAGCACCCAGCCGCCCUCGUCAGCAGCCGCCCGGUAGCAGCGACAGCUCUACAUGCGAAGCAGCGAAAUUCAUCUACACGAAUAAGUGGAUAUUUACGCACUGAUUACGUAACUUUACUGGACUAUUUAUUCUACUGUUGUUGUUUAUGUUUUCUAUCCACCCGAAGUUUGUUUUUAAUUUUUAAUUGCACAAAUCGCAUUUGUAACUGAUUUCCAACUCAAAAUGGAGAAUCAAGAAGGAAAAUACCUCCCGGAGCUCCUGGCGGAGAAAGACAGCCUGGACGUGUCAUUUACGCACGCGAUGAAACUUUUAUCCGCAGAAAUCGAGAGAAUCCAGAAAGGUGAGCCUAAGAAGGAAGGAGGAGAUGCGUACCUGGACCUUUUCACCGUCAAGAAUAUCAAACUGAAGGAACGCGUGCUCAUACCUGUCAAACAGUAUCCGAGGUUCAACUUUGUGGGGAAGAUUCUUGGCCCUCAGGGCAACACAAUCAAACGCCUUCAGGAAGAGACUGGGGCCAAGAUCUCUGUACUGGGCAAAGGAUCCAUGAGGGACAAGGCGAAGGAGGAGGGUCUGAGGAAAGGUGGUGAGCCCAAGUACGCACACCUGUCCAUGGAGCUGCAUGUCUUCAUCGAGGUGUUUGCUCCCGUGCCCGAGGCGUAUCUACGCAUGGCCCACGCCAUGGAGGAAGUCAAGAAGUUCCUUUUUCCUGACAUGAUGGAUGACAUCUGUCAGGAACAGUUCAUGGAGAUGGGUUAUCUGAACGGGGGCCAGGAGCACGGGCCAGGGGCCCCACGAGGUAGAGGCGGACCACCGGGCCGAGGAGGGCCACCGGGACAAACAGGGGCAUCCAGGGGUAGAGGUAUGCUCCCACGUGGAGGUGCCACAAGGGGUGGUGCGCCCCGCGGGGGGCCAGCCAGAGUUGGGGUAGUGAGGGGGGCACCGGCAGGAAGAGGGGGACCUCCAGCUGCCCCCGUCCGAGGGGCAGCAACAUCCCGAGCUAGACCCCCUGCCCCUGGUGGACCACCCAGGAUGCCCCCCCAACACCAACACGCCCCAGCACACGAACAAUAUGAGGAAUAUGCCUAUGAUGAGGGCUACACAGAGCCAGCGUACGAGUCAUACGACAAUUACUACAGUCAACCACAGGCAGAGCCAGAGUACUACGACUACGGACAUGGAGAGGUACAGGAGGCAUAUGAACCCUACGCCCAGGACGACUGGAACGGAGCCCAGAGAGCGGCACCGGCGGGAAAGGCCCCACCUUCCAGAGCGGCUAAGGGCCCUUACCGAGAACACCCCUAUAGACAAUACUGAACUCACCAUGACAACGCCUAGCGACCAACGCUAACGAGUUGCCCUGACAACCAACCAACCUGUCUACCACGGCAGCUCUCGCUCUAAGCAACCCUCGAAAAAAGUCCAACUAUUAGUCAGUCAAGGACCAAUCAGAGGGUGGCUUACUGGAGAGAGAACCAGUCAGAGGUUGGCUUACUGGAGAGAUGAUACCAUACGUACCUCAGUGAGGUGGUGCAGGAGCAGCAGGGUUCUACAUGACAGAGCACUGGAUCUCCGUCAGGCUCCGCAGUGAAGGACUGACCCAGUGGAAGGCACCAAUACUGGGGUAGAGCAGUCCGGAAGGAGGGCAGGCUGCCAAAAGGACCAGAGAGCAGAUGUAGGCUACGGAGGGGAGCCUAGGCCCCGCUAGAAAAAGAAGAGGGGUGAUUCUAUGAGGCUCUGUAUUAGAAUCUGGAUGAGGGGAGAAGAUUCUGGAAUGUGAAGCUAUGACCCUGAAGCUAUGACACUAACUGUGAAGCUAUGACACUGAAGCUAUGACACUAACUGUGAAGCUAUGACACUGAAGCUAUGACACUAACUGUGAAGCUAUGACACUGAAGCUAUGACACUAACUGUGAAGCUAUGACACUGAAGCUAUGACACUAACUGUGAAGCUAUGACACUAACUGUGAAGCUAUGACCCUGAAGCUAUGACACUAACUGUGAAGCUAUGACACUGUGAAGCUAUGCUUGUGAUGUCUGUAUGUUUGACUGUGGCGUUUUGAUACUGUACUGCUUAUUCACUGCUAGGUACUUUUGAUACUAAUCACUUUUGUAUUGGUUUCUAAUGUGAACGGUUUCCAAGACGCUUUACAGUUUGUAGUAAGUGAAACUUCAUUGUUAUGGAAAAAUGUACUAUGAAAAUGACCACCCAGGCUGUAACCAGCUGUGAAAUUGGUUUAAAUUUCCCUUUAAUUGGUUGUCUUAUAUUUUCUUUGAAGGGUUGAACACAUUUUUACUUUCUGCAAGGCAAGCUGUAUUUAUUCACCCCCUCAUAGACAGAUUGUUCAUUAUACUGUUUAACAGAUACAGCCUGUGUCCAUGUCUGUUUCUUUGUCUUUAUGGUUUAAUAUCAUGGUAAAUGAUGCUAUGUGCUUGUGAAAUCAAGACGCCCUAAGAGUGAAUCUGUUCUGCUCGAGUUCUCUGCUGCUCGCCACGUCGUUCACACACUGAAUAUCACUCACACAUACACGCACACGUACAACAGACAAUCCCUGGCAUAACCCAGCCUAUGUUGCCCUAAAGAUAUGAAAUGCUAAUGUGAAAUGCAUUUGCAUGUUCUUUCCGCUCAAAUGUGCAAAGCUUUCGCAACAAAUGUUGGCUUGCUCAACGUCCAAGUCUGAUAAUGCUGUGAGAUCUGGCUGUGAGGGGAAGUGCGUGUGAGGGAGAUAGAUUACCAGCAUUUGCUCUCUCCCUCUCCGGCUCCUCCGCUGACUUCCUCCCUACCUCCUGUCUCUCGUACUCCCUCCCUACCUACCUCCUCUCUCUCGUACUCCCUCC
This is an RNA transcript of Salmo salar (Atlantic salmon), 2880 nucleotides long. It is a transcript of the gene named KH domain-containing, RNA-binding, signal transduction-associated protein 1, with no coding region annotated. Lineage: Eukaryota; Metazoa; Chordata; Actinopteri; Salmoniformes; Salmonidae. The record is from RefSeq and is a predicted model, not a curated record.